This 91-nucleotide transfer RNA is filed under the name Gemmata obscuriglobus. RNAcentral's name for it is "tRNA-Ser". The record is from RNAcentral. Lineage: Bacteria; Pseudomonadati; Planctomycetota; Planctomycetia; Gemmatales; Gemmataceae.
ACGCGGCGUGCACGUCGGGCGUGCGGGUCUUGAACACCCGCCCGGUGCGCGCCCGGAGCCGGUCGAACAGGUCGCGUUUGAUCACCGCGUU